Molecule: ribosomal RNA, 253 nt
Filed under: uncultured bacterium
Lineage: Bacteria
Description: partial 16S ribosomal RNA
Rfam family: Bacterial small subunit ribosomal RNA
Source: RNAcentral
UACGUAGGGGGCUAGCGUUGUCCGGAAUCAUUGGGCGUAAAGCGCGUGUAGGCGGUCCGGUAAGUCCGCUGUGAAAGUCGGGGGCUCAACCCUCGAAAGCCGGUGGAAACUGUCGGGCUAGAGUACGGAAGAGGCGAGUGGAAUUCCUGGUGUAGCGGUGAAAUGCGCAGAUAUCGGGAGGAACACCGGUGGCGAAGGCGGUUCGCUGGGCCUUACCUGACGCUGAGGAGCGAAAGCGUGGGGAGCGAACAGG